UUGCCACGGUAUGCUUCUUCACCAGGCUGGUCGUCAGACUCCAUGUUUUCCAUCUCAAUGCCGUCAUCGACUUCAAUGCCAUCCUCCCCGUGAGAAGUCCACCUUGAGUAACCAGACACAAAUCCCCACAUGAGCAAGUGCAUCUCGACAUCCUCUGGCUCGUACAGCUUUUCUGACAUCUCACACAGGGACAACACAUCUUAUCACCCCCUUUCCUAUGCAUAUCUCCCAUGCCGGCAUCGACAAAAGUCUUCAGCCGUUCUAUCCACUCAACACGUAACCUGUCCUCGUACAUCCAAGCACGGCCCAUCGAGCUACAACACAAUUAAAAAAAAUAAACGAAUCAGCUUGAUCGACAAAAAUAGAAAAUUUCGGCAUGACCUUUGCUAAAAGAAUAGCAUUUUGCACUACGAAAUUCGAUGCCUGCAUCAAAAACAAAUUACCCCCACCC
This 451-nucleotide long non-coding RNA is filed under the name Brachypodium distachyon (stiff brome). RNAcentral describes it as "long non-coding RNA (BDIS_LNC002328)". The record is from RNAcentral. Lineage: Eukaryota; Viridiplantae; Streptophyta; Magnoliopsida; Poales; Poaceae.